GAUGAACGCUGACAGAAUGCUUAACACAUGCAAGUCUUUGGCGAAGCUGUGCUCGCACAGCCUAGCCAAGGCGGACGGGUGAGUAACGCGUAAGGAACUUGCCCUGCAGUCAGGGAUAACAGACGGAAACGACUGAUAAGACCUGGUAAAGUCAGGCGGACUCAUGUCCAGCCUGAUGAAAAGAGAUGCUGCAGGAGAGCCUUGCGUCCUAUUAGCUUGUUGGUGGGGUAACGGCCCACCAAGGCGAUGAUAGGUAGCCGGCCUGAGAGGGUGGACGGCCACAAGGGGACUGAGAUACGGCCCUUACUCCUACGGGAGGCAGCAGUGGGGAAUAUUGGACAAUGGGGGCAACCCUGAUCCAGCAAUUCUGUGUGCACGAUGAAGGUUUUCGGAUUGUAAAGUGCCUUCAGCAGGGAAGAAAAAAAUGACGGUACCUGCAGAAGAAGCGACGGCUAAAUACGUG
RNAcentral lists this ribosomal RNA (463 nucleotides) under uncultured bacterium. Its description in RNAcentral is "partial 16S ribosomal RNA". It matches the Rfam family "Bacterial small subunit ribosomal RNA", at positions 28 to 507 of the family's 1533-position model. The record is from RNAcentral.